RNAcentral lists this ribosomal RNA (497 nucleotides) under uncultured bacterium. Its description in RNAcentral is "partial 16S ribosomal RNA". It matches the Rfam family "Bacterial small subunit ribosomal RNA", at positions 28 to 507 of the family's 1533-position model. The record is from RNAcentral.
GAUGAACGCUGGCGGCGUGCCUAAUACAUGCAAGUCGAGCGAACAGACGAGGAGCUUGCUCCUCUGACGUUAGCGGCGGACGGGUGAGUAACACGUGGAUAACCUACCUAUAAGACUGGGAUAACUUCGGGAAACCGGAGCUAAUACCGGAUAAUAUAUUGAACCGCAUGGUUCAAUAGUGAAAGACGGUUUUGCUGUCACUUAUAGAUGGAUCCGCGCCGCAUUAGCUAGUUGGUAAGGUAACGGCUUACCAAGGCAACGAUGCAUAUCCGACCUGAGAGGGUGAUCGGCCACACUGGAACUGAGACACGGUCCAGACUCCUACGGGAGGCAGCAGUAGGGAAUCUUCCGCAAGGGGCGGAAGCUUGACGGAGCAACGCCGCGGGAGUGAUGAAAUUCUUCGGAUCUUAAAACUCUUUUAUUAGGUAAGAACAAAUGUGUAAGUAACUAUGCACGUCUUGACGGUACCUAAUCAGAAGGCCACGGCUAACUAGGUG